This 253-nucleotide ribosomal RNA is filed under the name uncultured bacterium. RNAcentral's name for it is "partial 16S ribosomal RNA". It matches the Rfam family "Bacterial small subunit ribosomal RNA", at positions 524 to 776 of the family's 1533-position model. The record is from RNAcentral.
UACGUAGGGGGCAAGCGUUGUCCGGAUUUAUUGGGCGUAAAGAGCGUGUAGGCGGCCAUACAGGUCCGUUGUGAAAACUGGAGGCUUAACCUCCAGACGUCGAUGGAAACCGUAUGGCUAGAGUCCGGAAGAGGAGAGUGGAAUUCCUGGUGUAGCGGUGAAAUGCGCAGAUAUCAGGAAGAACACCCGUGGCGAAGGCGGCUCUCUGGGACGGUACUGACGCUGAGGUGCGAAAGCGUGGGGAGCAAACAGG